This 905-nucleotide ribosomal RNA is filed under the name Methanosarcina mazei. RNAcentral describes it as "bacterial SSU rRNA". It matches the Rfam family "Archaeal small subunit ribosomal RNA", at positions 141 to 1045 of the family's 1478-position model. The record is from RNAcentral. Lineage: Archaea; Methanobacteriati; Methanobacteriota; Methanomicrobia; Methanosarcinales; Methanosarcinaceae.
CUGGGGUAAUUCCGGAUAACGCAUAUUUGCUGGAAUGCUUUAUGCGUCAAAAGGAUUCGUCUGCCCAAGGAUGGGUCUGCGGCCUAUCAGGUAGUAGUGGGUGUAAUGUACCUACUAGCCAGCGACGGGUACGGGUUGUGAGAGCAAGAGCCCGGAGAUGGAUUCUGAGACAUGAAUCCAGGCCCUACGGGGCGCAGCAGGCGCGAAAACUUUACAAUGCGGGAAACCGUGAUAAGGGGACACCGAGUGCCAGCAUCAUAUGCUGGCUGUCCGGAUGUGUAAAAUACAUCCGUUAGCAAGGGCCGGGCAAGACCGGUGCCAGCCGCCGCGGUAACACCGGCGGCCCGAGUGGUGAUCGUGAUUAUUGGGUCUAAAGGGUCCGUAGCCGGUUUGGUCAGUCCUCCGGGAAAUCUGAUAGCUCAACUAUUAGGCUUUCGGGGGAUACUGCCAGACUUGGAACCGGGAGAGGUAAGAGGUACUACAGGGGUAGGAGUGAAAUCUUGUAAUCCCUGUGGGACCACCUGUGGCGAAGGCGUCUUACCAGAACGGGUUCGACGGUGAGGGACGAAAGCUGGGGGCACGAACCGGAUUAGAUACCCGGGUAGUCCCAGCCGUAAACGAUGCUCGCUAGGUGUCAGGCAUGGCGCGACCGUGUCUGGUGCCGCAGGGAAGCCGUGAAGCGAGCCACCUGGGAAGUACGGCCGCAAGGCUGAAACUUAAAGGAAUUGGCGGGGGAGCACAACAACGGGUGGAGCCUGCGGUUUAAUUGGACUCAACGCCGGACAACUCACCGGGGGCGACAGCAAUAUGUAGGCCAAGCUGAAGACUUUGCCUGAAUCGCUGAGAGGAGGUGCAUGGCCGUCGCCAGUUCGUACUGUGAAGCAUCCUGUUAAGUCAGCAACGAG